RNAcentral lists this long non-coding RNA (704 nucleotides) under Equus asinus (donkey). Its description in RNAcentral is "lncRNA (ENSEASG00005030515.1)". Lineage: Eukaryota; Metazoa; Chordata; Mammalia; Perissodactyla; Equidae. The record is from RNAcentral.
AAAAGGUAUACUUGAAGGAUAUUGAAUAGAUAUUGAGCAAGACAAUUCACCCUAGUGAUCUUGCUUAAAUUAUAUGGAGAAAACUUUCUCUAGAGUUUCUAGGAUUACCAUUACAUGUACUAUUUUAAAUAAGUUGAGUUAUGUUUGGACUUCCGUGUCCUGGAUGUCUAGAAUGUCUAUAUAUUUAGACUUACAUGUCUAGAAUGACAUGUAAUAUUUUUAAAACAAGUCAAAACUACCUGUUUAGUUCAAAUGAGAACACCUCAAGAGUAUUGGAAAAAUUUGUUUCUUCAAGGGAUGGAGAGAAUUAAUGUAUGAGAGAGAAUGGAAUCCCAGCCAAAUUGUAUUUGUGCCAUUGAUGAAAACAGAAGGUGAAGCCGGAGCACCUUGUUUUGUCCUCUCCCCAUCUCCAUUGCUCCCCCCACAGCCUCCUGCGCACCAAGUAAGGAUUGUAGUCAGACACCAGGGACCACCCUUCCUAUGGUCUUCUGCUCAGUCUUCUCAAGUCCUAUCCCUGAGGCUGCACCCUAUGAAAGUUUCAUGUGACCUUAAGGCAUGUUUACAUCAGGACCAUGAGGGUCUAUUUUACUGAAACCUUUGUUUUCUGCAUAACCAAUGCAAGUCUGACUCUGAAGUCUUCAUCUAAAUUGUGAUAUUUACAGCUUUUACUGUCAACCCGGGUCCAGCUCAUUCUGAGAAGAAAG